UUCCCUGCGUACCAGAAAUGGGACACCCGCUAAAUUAGAUCGAUGUAUACAGAGAAGAUUAGCAUGGUCCCUGC
Molecule: non-coding RNA, 74 nt
Organism: Diplonema papillatum
Lineage: Eukaryota; Euglenozoa; Diplonemea; Diplonemida; Diplonemidae
Source: the annotation of a GenBank genome assembly